AGCCAUAGCGUGCAUCUGACCUAACAGAGAACUAGUCUUCGAGAUGUCGAGUCUUCGAGAGCAUCUACUGUGGGAUCUGGAGUUUCCACGGACAAAUCCAGGAGGAGCGGGAAUGAAAUUAACUGCACAUUGCGGAGUGCUUACUAAACAUGGCUCAUCUCCUCCAUCCUCACAAGAGCCCUGUAGGUGCAGGGAUUAGUGUCCCUAUCCUGCAGAUGAAACCAUAAGAUGCUCAAGGACGGUUACAGAGCUGUGUCUGCUCCAGGUUCUUGCUAGAAGUGGCACGGAGGAGAUUCCAAUGAGAACUGUCCACAUUAAGGCCACGCAAGUGCCCCCCAAGUUGGGGAAGACCUUCCUCUUCACUGUCAUUCAUAAAUGUUUAACUCCUGCGUCUCUUGUUAGCUCAAGCACAUAGCUGAUGACUAACGAGAUCGGCUGAAAAAAACAUGCCGGCACCUCCCCCAAGUGACGCUGUGAUGAAGAAGGGGGCAGGGCCGCUGCUGGGAGUGUAGACAUCCCUGAAAAGUCUUUCAGGCCACACUCUGAAAUUUGGAUGCUGUUCUGCAGGCCAGAUAUUUACAUGCAUGGCAAACCCCCACAGAUGGACUCGGACACCUCCAUGACACGGGAUCUGCAUGGCCCACUUGAGGACAGCUGCUCGCUGAGGACUGUGGCAUAGAGACAGAGACUACCAGGGCUGUGGUUUGUAGGACAGGUGUCAAGUCAGGAGGUGGAGUCUUUGUCCUUCCCCUUCACUAAGGGGCUGGUGUUGCAGCUGUGUGACUCCUGAAGCUCAUAAGGGACAUCCAGCUUUUUUGUGACUCUCUCGGGACAUGGGCCCUUGUAGCCUUGAACCUCUCUGUCAGAAGUCCAGCCAUCCUGAAGCUGCCAUAUGGAGAUACCAUGUGGAGAAAGCACAUAGAGACGGGGAGAGGUGCCCAAGGAGCCCCAGCUGUCCCAGCCCCCAGCUAUUUGAGUCACCUGAUGAAAGUGAGUGAACCUUCAGAUGUUUCCAACCGCAUAAGAGAGGGUCAGGACUAGCAGGAGUCCAGUGUGGAAUCAGUAGCA
Leptonychotes weddellii (Weddell seal) is the source of this 1068-nucleotide non-coding RNA. NCBI's taxonomy places the organism in Eukaryota, Metazoa, Chordata, Mammalia, Carnivora, Phocidae. The record is from RefSeq and is a predicted model, not a curated record.